This 1591-nucleotide ribosomal RNA is filed under the name Salmonella enterica. RNAcentral describes it as "partial 23S ribosomal RNA". It matches the Rfam family "Bacterial large subunit ribosomal RNA", at positions 1229 to 2802 of the family's 2925-position model. The record is from RNAcentral. Lineage: Bacteria; Pseudomonadati; Pseudomonadota; Gammaproteobacteria; Enterobacterales; Enterobacteriaceae.
UAGGGGAGCGUUCUGUAAGCCUGUGAAGGUGUGUCGUGAGGCAUGCUGGAGGUAUCAGAAGUGCGAAUGCUGACAUAAGUAACGAUAAAGCGGGUGAAAAGCCCGCUCGCCGGAAGACCAAGGGUUCCUGUCCAACGUUAAUCGGGGCAGGGUGAGUCGACCCCUAAGGCGAGGCCGAAAGGCGUAGUCGAUGGGAAACGGGUUAAUAUUCCCGUACUUGGUGUUACUGCGAAGGGGGGACGGAGAAGGCUAUGUUGGCCGGGCGACGGUUGUCCCGGUUUAAGCGUGUAGGUGUGUGUUCCAGGUAAAUCCGGUUCACUUUAACACUGAGGCGUGACGACGAGGCACUACGGUGCUGAAGCAACAAAUGCCCUGCUUCCAGGAAAAGCCUCUAAGCAUCAGGUAACAUCAAAUCGUACCCCAAACCGACACAGGUGGUCAGGUAGAGAAUACCAAGGCGCUUGAGAGAACUCGGGUGAAGGAACUAGGCAAAAUGGUGCCGUAACUUCGGGAGAAGGCACGCUGACACGUAGGUGAAGUGAUUUACUCAUGGAGCUGAAGUCAGUCGAAGAUACCAGCUGGCUGCAACUGUUUAUUAAAAACACAGCACUGUGCAAACACGAAAGUGGACGUAUACGGUGUGACGCCUGCCCGGUGCCGGAAGGUUAAUUGAUGGGGUCAGCGCAAGCGAAGCUCCUGAUCGAAGCCCCGGUAAACGGCGGCCGUAACUAUAACGGUCCUAAGGUAGCGAAAUUCCUUGUCGGGUAAGUUCCGACCUGCACGAAUGGCGUAAUGAUGGCCAGGCUGUCUCCACCCGAGACUCAGUGAAAUUGAACUCGCUGUGAAGAUGCAGUGUACCCGCGGCAAGACGGAAAGACCCCGUGAACCUUUACUAUAGCUUGACACUGAACAUUGAGCCUUGAUGUGUAGGAUAGGUGGGAGGCUUUGAAGUGUGGACGCCAGUCUGCAUGGAGCCGACCUUGAAAUACCACCCUUUAAUGUUUGAUGUUCUAACGUGGACCCGUUACCCGGGUUGCGGACAGUGUCUGGUGGGUAGUUUGACUGGGGCGGUCUCCUCCUAAAGAGUAACGGAGGAGCACGAAGGUUGGCUAAUCCUGGUCGGACAUCAGGAGGUUAGUGCAAUGGCAUAAGCCAGCUUGACUGCGAGCGUGACGGCGCGAGCAGGUGCGAAAGCAGGUCAUAGUGAUCCGGUGGUUCUGAAUGGAAGGGCCAUCGCUCAACGGAUAAAAGGUACUCCGGGGAUAACAGGCUGAUACCGCCCAAGAGUUCAUAUCGACGGCGGUGUUUGGCACCUCGAUGUCGGCUCAUCACAUCCUGGGGCUGAAGUAGGUCCCAAGGGUAUGGCUGUUCGCCAUUUAAAGUGGUACGCGAGCUGGGUUUAGAACGUCGUGAGACAGUUCGGUCCCUAUCUGCCGUGGGCGCUGGAGAACUGAGGGGGGCUGCUCCUAGUACGAGAGGACCGGAGUGGACGCAUCACUGGUGUUCGGGUUGUCAUGCCAAUGGCACUGCCCGGUAGCUAAAUGCGGAAGAGAUAAGUGCUGAAAGCAUCUAAGCACGAAACUUGCCCCGA